CGACCAAUCCUUCGCGACCCCGUUGCCAGGCAACGCCGGGGCGUCCGCCCAGCCGGACCCGGGCUUCCGGAGCGCGCUCGGACCCGGGAUGGGAAGUGAUGCCCAAGGGCUUCUGUUGAGUUGAUGACAUCACGUUGAGAGAGAGAAAAGGGUGAACGCGAAAACCAAGGACGCCAACGCUGAAAGCUCAGGAGGGAAGGAUACAAAUUUCCACGUACUCGCGCUUUUCAGUUCCACCGCCCCCUUCCGGAGGUUGGUGAAGCGUGAGCCUACGCCUUUGCACAGGUGACUUCAGCUAGCCGGAAAGGCAGCGGAGGAGUCCGGGGUCUCGGAGGGAAGAGCAUCAAGGUCUCCCUUGACCCGCGCCUCCUAGACUGCGUCCUUAAACACAAGACAAGGGGCCUUCUCUCUGGGUACUAACUCUGCAGUGCAGCUUAAAGUGUGCCUUUAGCAUGAAUUUCCAUAUUGGGAAAUGCGCAGUUUGGGGGUCACUCUCCUGGGUCCUUCCUGCUUAUGCCGUCAGACGAACCUCCCACCCAGGCCUGUGUCUUAAUGCAGUUCAGGGUCUAAAUGAACUCCUUUCAUAGGACUACCCAGCUCUUCAAUUCCUGAUCCAGCGAAUGGGAGCAUUCGUCCCUCGGAUAUGCAGCAAUCCUCAGCCCCACCCAGCAGGUUCCUGGCUUCACCAGCCUGGAGUGCCACAACUACAGUCUUCCAUCCUAAGAGGCACAAAGGAGUGCUGUUCUGCAGUCUGGGUAGUUCAUCCAUUCAAGGGAAAGCAGAUGCUGAGAAGAGGCUCACAUCACUUUGUCUUCACCCUGGCCCGCACUUCACCUGAGAAAAGUAUGGCUGAGAAGUUACUGGCUUGCCCAAGGCCAAACAAGCAAAAGAGGAGGUUCAAGGCCAGAUUCUCUGUACUUUUCUGGCAUCUCUCAGCAGCAGCAAGGCAAGGCUGACUGAGAAGGGAAGUUAACCAGGAAGAAAUUAAGGAUUAAAGACAUGUUCCCAUAUAAAUGCACAAAGGAUGCGUUCAGGACAGAGAUGUUGCCCUGACACAUUCACAAAGGAACUGUGCUGAGUCACACCAGCCCUUGGGCUGAGCUGCUCUAAGCUACUAUGCCUUACAAGUCCUCUCCACAGUCCCUGUGACUUGGAGGUGGGGUGUUGCCAUAAAGGUUGGGCACUACCCAAGCCCUCUGCAACAGUAAGAGGCAGGCCAUUUCCUCAGGUGCAGACACCUAUCUCCUCACCUAUCUCGGAUUCAAUUCCUCCUAACCAGGUCUGGUCUAAACGUUCCAGAAGUCAAGAAAUUAAACGAGAGAUAACACUCUCCUUACAUUAAUGAUAAUCAUGUCAUGUACCCAGAUAUUUUGGGUCUUUGGCCUAAUUUUUCUUUUUUGGUACUGGAGACUGAACCCAAGGGCCCUUUACCACAUCCCCAGUCCUAUUUAUUUUGAGACACGGUCAUGCUAAGUUGCCAAGGCUGGCUGGAUCUUGUACUGAUUCAGCCUCCUCAGUCACUAUGUUUACAGGUGCACACCCCCCACAGUUGGCUGACCUAAUUUCUGUAAGCUGGUUAGAACAUGCCUCAUUUUCCUUAAGGUUCUGGGUUUCUGAGGCUUUCUACAAUGCACCUGCUUGUUCACCUUGGCUUUGGCACAGCGGGCCCUCAAAUGAGUGGACACCAAGUAGUUAUGUGCCCUUUGUCUUUAUACCUGAGGACAUCCAUGCACACACAUUUAUGUACAUUUAACAAGUGGCUCUAAGCCACUUUAGCUCAUUUUCUUACUCAGGUUCUCUAAUAGCUGGAUUGUGACACUGCAUACUGAUGAUACUCCCCUUGCCCCCCUUAUAGCCUCUGGCUGUAGAUUCUAGGGAUAGAACCGAAUGUGCCCAGUACCCCCUUCCUCUCUCAGGAUGACACUUUCUCCCAUGGCUUCAGUCAUUAUUCUUUCAGAAUUCAGUAUGAAAGAGAACUACCUAGCACUUUAUUUUACUUAGGCUUUUGAUGCUUAACCUGUUCCACAAAGGCUCCCGUGCACUUCCUUGCUCUGUCUUGGAAUACGGUUCUGGGUUCAUCUGGCACCAUUUCUAGCCCUUACUCAGGAAGCGGCGCUGGUUCCUUUUAGUGGCGAAUGAUAAUAGAGACCACAAUCCAGAUACUGUCCACUGCUCCUGGGGCAUAACUAGGAAAUGUGGAUUUCUUUAAAUGAAUAAGGAUGAAUUCAUACCUAGAUUUCCUAUACUUUGAACUACAGAUUUUUAUAAAUUAAUUCUUGGAUUUUAUUGUCUUUUUCUCAGGAAAAAAUUAGUUUUAACAUUAAGAUAGUUAUUAGCUUUAAUCCACACUGCACAUAAUUUCAAAGGAUUAAUUCCGAUAAAACUAGUAAUAAGAUUACUGAAUGGAAUUUAGGAUUACUUAGCGGCUUCACUUGUUUUUAAACUAUAGCGCUGUAGUUCAUUAAAUCUAUACAGCGUGCCAUGUUCUAACAUCCCUGUCAAGAUGCGGGAGGGCUGCACACUGCUAAUGCCAUGAGGUCAGCCAGGCCCAGCGCUGCAGCUGCUUGAGGACAGGCUCUGGGGUGGCAGCACCUGGGUACAGGCUGGACCCCUGAAACCUGGUGCCCAAAGUGAGAACCAGCUCUGCAACACACCAGUGCUUCCCCUGCCUCAUACCUCCUACUUUUCAACUGCUUCUCCAGAUCACUUCUAAAUUCUUCUUCUUUUUUUUUUUUUAGUAUUUAUUUUUUAGUUUUAGUGAGGAUUGAACCCAGGGCUUUUGCACGUGCUAGGCAAGCACUCAGCUGCUAAGCCAAACCCCAGCCCCUCCAAAUUCUUGUCUUUGGCAUGGCUUCUGUGAAUCCAAUUCAAGGCAGUUCAGUUCAUUCAUCUCAGUCUAAACAAUUAUCUGUAUAUACUUUGGAUUACAGAUUUUUAUAAAUUAAUUCUUGUCUUUAGUUUUAACAUUAAGAUAGUUAUUAGCUUUAAUCCACACUGCACAUAAUUUCAAAGGAUUAAUACCGAUAAAACUAGUAAUGAGAUUACUGAAUGGAAUUUAGGAUUACUUAGUGGCCUCACUUGUUUUUAAACUAUAGUGCUACAGUUCAUUAAAUCUGUAUAGCGUGCUGUAUUCUAACAUCGUGUUCUAACACUGUGUUCAAACAUUUACAUAUUUGGAAAUAUGUAAAACAUUAUUUGGUCCCACUUCUAGCCCUGCCCCUGCAUGGCCUCAUCCUUCACUUUACUUUUAAGGUAUCUUAAGGGAAAAAAAAAUAAAAAAGAGGUGAGCAGAUCUGUAUUUGCUUCCUAUUAAACAGGGCUCCCUUUCCUUUCCUUCUCACAGCUGCAGCACCUGCUGCACUCUGGGAUAAAUAUACCUUCCAUUAGAAAUGGGCAUCUUGCUGUUUCUAGUUUUAAGAAUGCCACCAUGAAGGAUUGUGCAGUCUUUUCAUUUCAUUUCUCCUUUAAGUAGAACUGCUGUGUCACUGACUCAGCAAGUAAACAUACAUGCAGUUUUAUUCUCUUCCAUGACUGUAAGGUUCUGCCUUCCCACCAGCAAUGCAUGGAUCCUUGCAUCCCACCACUUCACAGGAAACAUUAAGAAGGCAAACAUCUGGGUGUUUGCCAUUCACAGAGAUGAGAAAUUUUACCUCAAUAUAGCCUUUUAUUUUUGGUCAGCCUUUUUAUCAGCUUUAUUGAGGUACAAUUAGCAGAAGAUAAUGAACAUAUUCACCACUCACGUUUCCUUUGCCCAUCCCACGUCUACAGGCAACCACUGGGCUGCUUCCUGCCAAGAUACUAGUUUGCAUUCUCCAGACUUCCGCCCAUGGAAUCACACAGUGUGUACUCUCCCAGCUGCUCCUCCCAGGAGAGAUGACUGGGACUCAUCCACACUGCCGUGCAUACCAACAGCUCACUUCUUAAUACUGAGCACAAUACAAUGGCCCUUUUUCUGGAGGUGAGGAGACGGCUCCAUUAUGUAACCAACUCCUAGGUCAUUUUCAGUGGCUAGAUUUCCACUAACUUUCUGCUUUUAUGUUUUAUGGUCAAGAACCUAAAGAGACACUAACUCCAUUCUACAUCCAAACUUUUCUACUGAAUUGUCCACCCUAUUAUUCAGUUUUUAUUUUCUAUUACACCCUAACAUUCUCCAAAGUCUAGCUUAGUGUCUGGCACAAAGAAUAAAUAAGGAAUUCAACACGUAGUUACUGGGCACUGGACAUGGGAAGAAGACAUACUGUGCAUCUUUAAUGUGACUCCAUGAGGGCAGAGGACAUGUGGGUCCCCACAUCUACUGCCCUACAGGACACGACUUCAAAGACAAGGUGAACCCAGUGCUGCCUUGCUUGCCUUAUGAAAUGCUUCUUAUCAAAAGGACACUUUAGAAACAAAAUCAGAUUACUUUUUAGGGAAGAAUUUUAUAAAGAAUGGAUUCAUAUUUAAAAUGAGUUGUACCUUUAAAGAGAACAGAUUUAAAAGGAAACCCAUUUACUCCAUCAGUCUCAUUCAUUCAGGGUUUAGUCGCUCCAAUUCUUCACAAGUUCACCUCCUGAACCACUGGACAAGAACAAGGAGAAGUUUUCUUCCUUUGCUGUCAGGAAUGAAAAUUCUUCUUAAGAAUACACAACAGAAUUUCUGGAUUUUGAUGUGACAGAAUAAUAAGAUAAUUACAUUUGCUAAAUUACAUAUGCCUACAGCCAAACAGUACAGGUUUUAAAUGGGUUUGGAAAUAUAAGAAGGGUUGCUCAUUUUGUUUUGAUUGUGCCCAGGAUGAUAAAGCAAGGGAUAAAGACAGGCAAAGCUGUCCCCCAUGCUGAGUCCUUACAAGCUGCUAGCCAGGGGACUGAUGACAUCUGUGAAGCGUAUUGCUUGUUCACGAGCACAGAAUCUACCAUCUACCGAGACAGGUUCAACAGGAGCAGCUGCGCAAGCUGUGACACAUGGCGACAGAAGCCACCUCUGCGACCCUAGGUUCAGUCAGUAGGAGCGAAUGGCAGGGGGAACAGU
Marmota monax (woodchuck) is the source of this 5007-nucleotide long non-coding RNA. RefSeq lists it as uncharacterized. The record is from RefSeq and is a predicted model, not a curated record. The transcript is spliced from 2 exons. NCBI's taxonomy places the organism in Eukaryota, Metazoa, Chordata, Mammalia, Rodentia, Sciuridae.